GAUGAACGCUGGCGGCGUGCCUAAUACAUGCAAGUCGAGCGAACAGACGAGGAGCUUGCUCCUCUGACGUUAGCGGCGGACGGGUGAGUAACACGUGGAUAACCUACCUAUAAGACUGGGAUAACUUCGGGAAACCGGAGCUAAUACCGGAUAAUAUAUUGAACCGCAUGGUUCAAUAGUGAAAGACGGUUUUGCUGUCACUUAUAGAUGGAUCCGCGCCGCAUUAGCUAGUUGGUAAGGUAACGGCUUACCAAGGCAACGAUGCGUAGCCGACCUGAGAGGGUGCUCGGCCACACUGAAACUGAGACACGGUCCAGACUCCUACGGGAGGCAGCAGUAGGGAAUCUUCCGCAAUGGGCGAAAGCCUGACGGAGCAACGCCGCGUGAGUGAUGAAGGUCUUCGGAUCGUAAACCUCUGUUAUUAGGGAAGAACAAAUGUGUAAGUAACUAUGCACGUCUUGACGGUACCUAAUCAGAAAGCCACGGCUAACUACG
Molecule: ribosomal RNA, 495 nt
Filed under: uncultured bacterium
Lineage: Bacteria
Description: partial 16S ribosomal RNA
Rfam family: Bacterial small subunit ribosomal RNA
Source: RNAcentral